GAAACCCGGUGAUCUAGCCAUGGGCAGGUUGAAGGUUGGGUAACACUAACUGGAGGACCGAACCGACUAAUGUUGAAAAAUUAGCGGAUGACCUGUGGCUGGGGGUGAAAGGCCAAUCAAACCGGGAGAUAGCUGGUUCUCCCCGAAAGCUAUUUAGGUAGCGCCUCGUGAAUUCAUCUCCGGGGGUAGAGCACUGUUUCGGCCAGGGGGCCAUCCCGGCUUACCAAUCCGAUGCAAACUGCGAAUACCGGAGAAUGUUAUCACGGGAGACACACGGCGGGUGCUAACGUCCGUCGUGAAGAGGGAAACAACCCAGACCGCCAGCUAAGGUCCCAAAGUCAUGGUUAAGUGGGAAACGAUGUGGGAAGGCCCAGACAGCCAGGAUGUUGGCUUAGAAGCAGCCAUCAUUUAAAGAAAGCGUAAUAGCUCACUGGUCGAGUCGGCCUGCGCGGAAGAUGUAACGGGGCUAAACCAU
This 475-nucleotide ribosomal RNA is filed under the name Salmonella enterica subsp. salamae. Its description in RNAcentral is "partial 23S ribosomal RNA". It matches the Rfam family "Bacterial large subunit ribosomal RNA", at positions 717 to 1190 of the family's 2925-position model. Lineage: Bacteria; Pseudomonadati; Pseudomonadota; Gammaproteobacteria; Enterobacterales; Enterobacteriaceae. The record is from RNAcentral.